This 548-nucleotide ribosomal RNA is filed under the name Macrobrachium japonicum. RNAcentral's name for it is "partial 16S ribosomal RNA". It matches the Rfam family "Bacterial large subunit ribosomal RNA", at positions 1808 to 2624 of the family's 2925-position model. Lineage: Eukaryota; Metazoa; Arthropoda; Malacostraca; Decapoda; Palaemonidae. The record is from RNAcentral.
UACAAAAACAUGUCUGUGUGAAAUUAAUUAUAAAGUCUAGCCUGCCCACUGAUUUAGUUAAAGGGCCGCGGUAAUUUGACCGUGCGAAGGUAGCAUAGUCAGUAGUCUUUUAAUUGAAGGCUUGAAUGAAUGGUUGGACGAGGGAUAAGCUGUCUCCUUUACGUGGCUUGAAUUUAACUUCUGAGUGAAAAGGCUCAGAUUAUUUAAUGGGACGAUAAGACCCUAUAAAACUUAAUAUGAGUCUAGCUUGGUCUAUGACGUAAGUGAAAAGUUGCUUUGCUUGGCUAAUAUUUCGUUGGGGAGAUGAAGAUAUAAAAUGUAACUGUCUAUUAAAUUUAAUAGUGUUAAUUAGUGUUUGAUCCUUCUUUGUGGAUUAAAAGAAUAAGUUACUUUAGGGAUAACAGCGUGAUUUUCUUUGAGAGUCCUUAUCGACAAGAUUAGUUGCGACCUCGAUGUUGAAUUAAAGUUUCAGCUAGGUGUAGCCGUUUAGCUGGUGGGUCUGUUCGACCCUUAAAACUUUACGUGAUCUGAGUUCAGACCGGACGCCU